Molecule: ribosomal RNA, 521 nt
Filed under: uncultured bacterium
Lineage: Bacteria
Description: bacterial SSU rRNA
Rfam family: Bacterial small subunit ribosomal RNA
Source: RNAcentral
UGGGGAAUCUUGCGCAAUGGGCGAAAGCCUGACGCAGCAACGCCGCGUGGGGGAUGAAGGCUCUCGGGUUGUAAACCCCUUUCAGCAGGGACGAAAUUGACGGUACCUGCAGAAGAAGCCCCGGCCAACUACGUGCCAGCAGCCGCGGUAAUACGUAGGGGGCGAGCGUUGUCCGGAUUCAUUGGGCGUAAAGAGCUCGUAGGCGGUUUGGCAAGUCGGAUGUGAAACUCCAGGCUCAACCUGGAGCCGCCAUUCGAGACUGCUAUGACUAGAGUCCGGUAGGGGAGUGUGGAAUUCCCGGUGUAGCGGUGAAAUGCGCAGAUAUCGGGAGGAACACCGAUGGCGAAGGCAGCACUCUGGGCCGGUACUGACGCUGAGGAGCGAAAGCGUGGGGAGCGAACAGGAUUAGAUACCCUGGUAGUCCACGCCGUAAACGUUGGGCACUAGGUGUGGGGCCUUAUCAACGGGUUCCGUGCCGCAGCUAACGCAAUAAGUGCCCCGCCUGGGGAGUACGGCCGCAA